GCCUUCGUGGUGUAAUGGUCAGCACACUCAGCGCGUAUUCAAGAGUUCCGAGGUUCAAAUCCCGGCGAGGGCA
This 73-nucleotide transfer RNA is filed under the name Stegodyphus mimosarum. It matches the Rfam family "tRNA". Rfam says of the family: Transfer RNA (tRNA) molecules are approximately 80 nucleotides in length. Their secondary structure includes four short double-helical elements and three loops (D, anti-codon, and T loops). The record is from Rfam by way of RNAcentral. Lineage: Eukaryota; Metazoa; Arthropoda; Arachnida; Araneae; Eresidae.